CCAAUGUGAACGUUACCAAACUGUUGCCUCGGCGGGAUCUCUGCCCCGGGUGCGUCGCAGCCCCGGACCAAGGCGCCCGCCGGAGGACCAACCAAAACUCUUAUUGUAUACCCCCUCGCGGGUUUUUUUAUAAUCUGAGCCUUCUCGGCGCCUCUCGUAGGCGUUUCGAAAAUGAAUCAAAACUUUCAACAACGGAUCUCUUGGUUCUGGCAUCGAUGAAGAACGCAGCGAAAUGCGAUAAGUAAUGUGAAUUGCAGAAUUCAGUGAAUCAUCGAAUCUUUGAACGCACAUUGCGCCCGCCAGUAUUCUGGCGGGCAUGCCUGUCCGAGCGUCAUUUCAACCCUCGAACCCCUCCGGGGGGUCGGCGUUGGGGAUCGGCCCUCCCUUAGCGGGUGGCCGUCUCCGAAAUACAGUGGCGGUCUCGCCGCAGCCUCUCCUGCGCAGUAGUUUGCACACUCGCAUCGGGAGCGCGGCGCGUCCACAGCCGUUAAACACCCAACUUCUGAAAUGUUGACCUCGGAUCAGGUAGGAAUACCCGCUGAACUUAAGCAUAUCAAUAAGCGGAGGAAAAGAAACCAACAGGGAUUGCCCCAGUAACGGCGAGUGAAGCGGCAACAGCUCAAAUUUGAAAUCUGGUCCCUAGGGCCCGAGUUGUAAUUUGUAGAGGAUGCUUUUGGUGAGGUGCCGCCCGAGUUCCCUGGAACGGGACGCCACAGAGGGUGAGAGCCCCGUCUGGCUGGCCGCCGAGCCUCUGUAAAGCUCCUUCGACGAGUCGAGUAGUUUGGGAAUGCUGCUCAAAAUGGGAGGUAUAUGUCUUCUAAAGCUAAAUAUUGGCCAGAGACCGAUAGCGCACAAGUAGAGUGAUCGAAAGAUGAAAAGCACCUUGAAAAGAGGGUUAAAUAGUACGUGAAAUUGUUGAAAGGGAAGCGCUUGUGACCAGACUUGGGCGCGGCGGAUCAUCCGGGGUUCUCUCCGGUGCACUUCGCCGCGUCUAGGCCAGCAUCAGUUCGUCGCGGGGGAAAAAGGCUUCGGGAACGUGGCUCCUCCGGGAGUGUUAUAGCCCGUUGCAUAAUACCCUGCGGUGGACUGAGGACCGCCAU
RNAcentral lists this small RNA (1100 nucleotides) under Trichoderma harzianum. Its description in RNAcentral is "eukaryotic LSU rRNA". The stretch from base 512 to 1100 matches the Rfam family "Eukaryotic large subunit ribosomal RNA", at positions 1 to 599 of the family's 3401-position model. Lineage: Eukaryota; Fungi; Ascomycota; Sordariomycetes; Hypocreales; Hypocreaceae. The record is from RNAcentral.